CCUACGGGAGGCAGCAGUGAGGAAUAUUGGUCAAUGGGCGAGAGCCUGAACCAGCCAAGUAGCGUGCAGGAUGACGGCCCUAUGGGUUGUAAACUGCUUUUAUAUAGGGAUAAAGUGCACUACGUGUAGUGUUUUGUAGGUACUAUAUGAAUAAGGACCGGCUAAUUCCGUGCCAGCAGCCGCGGUAAU
RNAcentral lists this ribosomal RNA (189 nucleotides) under uncultured bacterium. RNAcentral's name for it is "partial 16S ribosomal RNA". It matches the Rfam family "Bacterial small subunit ribosomal RNA", at positions 338 to 524 of the family's 1533-position model. The record is from RNAcentral.